RNAcentral lists this small RNA (293 nucleotides) under Arabidopsis thaliana (thale cress). RNAcentral describes it as "ATSL211590". The record is from RNAcentral. Lineage: Eukaryota; Viridiplantae; Streptophyta; Magnoliopsida; Brassicales; Brassicaceae.
AAAAAUUAAAUUGAGGUUUUUUUUGCACAAAAGCCUUAUGUUUUAAAAGAGAGUUAUCGAGUGCCAUGUCAUCGCUACAUGGGAGGACUGUAUUGCGGGUGACUUUUGAGAUUGUGAGAUUGACUUGCAUAAUUCGGACUUGGAUGAAAACUUGCAAACGAAAUUGACUUGAAGGGUUGUUUUGCAGAAAACCCUGAUACCCUAAUGUUAACUAAGAUACAAAUCUGUUAUCGUAUGAGAAAUGCUUUUACCAUUUAUUUAUUAAGAUUAGGUAUGUAGAUUCAAAAUCAAGU